CUACGGGCGGCUCCAGCAGGGAAUAUUGCACAAUGGAUGGAAGUCUGAUGCAGCGACGCCGCGUGGAUGAUGAAGGCCUUCGGGUUGUAAAAUCCUUUUCAGGGAGAAGAGGAAGGACGGUAUCCCUGGAAUAAGCGUCGGCUAACUACGUGCCAGCAGCCGCGGUAAUACGUAGGACGCAAGCGUUAUCCGGAUUUACUGGGCGUAAAGCGUCUGUAGGCGGUUUAGUAAGUUUGAUGUGAAAGCUCCAGGCUCAACUUGGAGAGUGCAUUGAAUACUGCUAGACUUGAGGGGAUCAGAGGAAAGCGGAAUUUCCGGUGUAGCGGUAAAAUGCGCAGAUAUCGGAAAGAACACCAGUGGCGAAGGCGGCUUUCUGGGAUCAACCUGACGCUGAGAGACGAAAGCUAGGGUAGCGAACAGGAUUAGAUACCCCCGUAGUC
This 440-nucleotide ribosomal RNA is filed under the name uncultured bacterium. RNAcentral's name for it is "partial 16S ribosomal RNA". It matches the Rfam family "Bacterial small subunit ribosomal RNA", at positions 339 to 795 of the family's 1533-position model. The record is from RNAcentral.